GUGGGGAAUAUUGGACAAUGGGCGAAAGCCUGAUCCAGCAAUGCCGCGUGAGUGAUGAAGGCCUUAGGGUUGUAAAGCUCUUUUACCCGGGAAGAUAAUGACUGUACCGGGAGAAUAAGCCCCGGCUAACUCCGUGCCAGCAGCCGCGGUAAUACGGAGGGGGCUAGCGUUGUUCGGAAUUACUGGGCGUAAAGCGCACGUAGGCGGCUGUUUAAGUCAGAGGUGAAAGCCCAGGGCUCAACCCUGGAACUGCCUUUGAGACUGGACGGCUUGAAUCACGGAGAGGUGGGUGGAAUUCCGAGUGUAGAGGUGAAAUUCGUAGAUAUUCGGAAGAACACCAGUGGCGAAGGCGGCCCACUGGACGUGUAUUGACGCUGAGGUGCGAAAGCGUGGGGAGCAAACAGG
Molecule: ribosomal RNA, 405 nt
Filed under: uncultured Sphingomonas sp.
Lineage: Bacteria; Pseudomonadati; Pseudomonadota; Alphaproteobacteria; Sphingomonadales; Sphingomonadaceae
Description: bacterial SSU rRNA
Rfam family: Bacterial small subunit ribosomal RNA
Source: RNAcentral